Molecule: long non-coding RNA, 1361 nt
Organism: Capra hircus (goat)
Lineage: Eukaryota; Metazoa; Chordata; Mammalia; Artiodactyla; Bovidae
Exons: 6
Source: RefSeq, a predicted model, not a curated record
UACUGGAGUGGGAUGCCAUUGCCUUCUCCGAUAGCACUUGAGAACAUUAAAAUAAGUUAGCAGUACUUGAAUCUCAUGCCCAUAUGUCCUGGUUCUCUUGAUCUGAAGUGGAACCUGGACUCUAUUUCUUCUAGGUUCUCCCAUGGCAUGCAGUCAGGGUUGAGGACCUCUACUGUGUACCUUCCUGUUUGAGGUAUCUUGUACUCUUCUUUACCUUGAUAUUUUUCACUUAAGUAAUUUUGGAGGUUUCUUCCAGAACAGUACAUGUAGAUCAAUCUCAUUUUUCAAUGCUUCAUGGUAUUCCAGGUAUUCCGAUCAUUCUGGCAUUCUCCUUCCAGCUCUUAAGGCAAUCACUGGUGGAGCGCUGGACCCAGAAGCAUGAGAAGACACCUCACCUGUCCUCACCGCAACUCCCUCUCUCUCUAUUAAAAGCCAUGAUGGUCUCCUUUAGGAAAGCAGCUUAUCCAUCAAUAAGGAUCCCAUCCUCUUCCAAAAAUGAAUCGAUUAAUCAUGUCAAAAGAUCGCAGAGGCUGGUCAUAGGGCAAAAUGUGGCCUCCACCUCGAACAAUUACCUUAAAGAAGAAAAACAGAAGAAAAGCUGAAAUUUAGAAAACUGGAUAUUCUAAAUACAUGGAAACCUUUAAUUUGGAUUAAAAUGUUCUUAAAGCUUACAUGAAAUAAAGAACAUAGUGUAUCGGUCCAUGCUUUUGGAUAUGCUGAUUGUCUGCUUUUGAUAGCAUUAAUAAUAGGUACCUUAAGGUGGGAGCUGUCUGCUUCUCCAUGCUAUGCUGUAACUCUUACCUUGUUAGGGGCCUGAGGUUGGGAGACCUACCCCAGACCAGCUCUGGUUGCAACUAGGUAGAGAAAUGUACCUAAUUUACCGUUCAGUAAGCUGGUCCAUUGGCCUUCACACUAAGCUACACCUUUUACCUUAAUUACACCUUCUACCUUAGUCUUUACCAGUAAUAAAGGAGAUAUUUUGAGUCUCAAAAAAAUUAAAACAACAACAAAAAAGAACUCCUUGACACCUGAAAUUUUAAAAGGCCUAAAAUUUUUUUGAGCAGCAAAAAAUUAGAAUUCUAUUUUUCCAAGAUUUUAUUAUAAAACAUUUUCAAACAUAUAGCAGAUUUGAAAGAAUUUCAUAUACACACCAUUUAGAUACUCUCAUUAACACUUUACUCGUUUUCUUACAGCUGCAUCUCACUGCCCAUCUAUUAACCCACCUUAUCUUUUUGACACAUUUCAGAGUAAGAUGGGGAUGUCAGUAUACUCCUCCCAAAUUUUGUGUAAAAUUGACAUACAGUGGGAUUCUCUGGUGGCUCAGACAGUAAAGAAUCUGCCUGCAAUGCAGGAGAUGCCAG